This 233-nucleotide ribosomal RNA is filed under the name Actinomycetota bacterium. RNAcentral's name for it is "Actinobacteria bacterium (hydrocarbon metagenome) partial 23S ribosomal RNA". It matches the Rfam family "Bacterial large subunit ribosomal RNA", at positions 2694 to 2925 of the family's 2925-position model. The record is from RNAcentral. Lineage: Bacteria; Bacillati; Actinomycetota.
GGGACGGACGUAGCUCUGGUGUGUCUGUUGUUUCGCCAGAAGCAUCGCAGAUUUGCUACCUACGGAAGGGAUAACCGCUGAAAGCAUCUAAGCGGGAAACCCGUUCCAAGAUAAGGAUUCCCACCGGGUUAACCGGGUAAGGCCCCCAGCUAGAUGACUGGGUUGAUAGGCCGGACGUGGAAGUGCAGCAAUGCACGGAGCUGACCGGUACUAAUAGGCCGAGGACUUGCCUU